RNAcentral lists this ribosomal RNA (3104 nucleotides) under Microbacterium flavum. RNAcentral's name for it is "23S ribosomal RNA". It matches the Rfam family "Bacterial large subunit ribosomal RNA". The record is from RNAcentral. Lineage: Bacteria; Bacillati; Actinomycetota; Actinomycetes; Micrococcales; Microbacteriaceae.
UUUCAAGUCUUUAAGAGCAAACGGUGAAUGCCUUGGCAUCUGGAGCCGAAGAAGGACGUAGCAAUCUGCGAUAAGCCUCGGGGAGUGGAUAAGCACACUUUGAUCCGAGGAUGUCCGAAUGGGGAAACCCCGCUGGGCGGCGUGCCGACCCAGUGACUCCCGCCUGAAUAUAUAGGGCGGGUAGAGGGAACGUGGGGAAGUGAAACAUCUCAGUACCCACAGGAAGAGAAAGCAACCGCGAUUCCGUUAGUAGUGGCGAGCGAAACCGGAACAGGCUAAACCGAGUACGUGUGAUAUCCGGCAGGAGUUGCGUAUUCGGGGUUGUGGGACUUUUCAGGCUGCUCUGCCGAGCAGCCAGCGUGACAAGAAGGUAUAGACGAACUGGAUUGAAAGCCAGGUCAUAGAGGGUGCGAACCCCGUAGUCGAAAUGCCUCACUUGGCGCGAAGAGUAUCCCAAGUAGCACGGGGCCCGAGAAAUCCCGUGUGAAUCUGUCAGGACCACCUGAUAAGCCUAAAUACUCCCAGAUGACCGAUAGCGGACAAGUACCGUGAGGGAAAGGUGAAAAGUACCCCGGGAGGGGAGUGAAAUAGUACCUGAAACCGUUUGCUUACAAACCGUUGGAGCCUCCCUAGCAGGGGUGACAGCGUGCCUUUUGAAGAAUGAGCCUGCGAGUUAGCGAUACGUGGCGAGGUUAACCCGUGUGGGGUAGCCGUAGCGAAAGCGAGUCUGAAUAGGGCGAUUCAGUCGCGUGUCCUAGACCCGAAGCGAAGUGAUCUAUCCAUGGCCAGGUUGAAGCGACGGUAAGACGUCGUGGAGGACCGAACCCACUUAGGUUGAAAACUGAGGGGAUGAGCUGUGGAUAGGGGUGAAAGGCCAAUCAAACUUCGUGAUAGCUGGUUCUCUCCGAAAUGCAUUUAGGUGCAGCGUUGCGUGUUUCUUGCCGGAGGUAGAGCUACUGGAUGGCCGAUGGGCCCUACAAGGUUACUGACGUCAGCCAAACUCCGAAUGCCGGUAAGUGAGAGCGCAGCAGUGAGACUGUGGGGGAUAAGCUUCAUAGUCGAGAGGGAAACAACCCAGACCACCAACUAAGGUCCCAAAGCGCGUGCUAAGUGGGAAAGGAUGUGGAGUUGCUUUGACAACCAGGAGGUUGGCUUAGAAGCAGCCACCCUUGAAAGAGUGCGUAAUAGCUCACUGGUCAAGUGAUUCCGCGCCGACAAUGUAACGGGGCUCAAGCACGCCACCGAAGUUGUGGCAUUGACAUUAUUGGUAGGCCUUCGUGGUCCAGCCGUGUUGAUGGGUAGGAGAGCGUCGUGUGGCCAGCGAAGCGGCGGUGUGAACCAGCCGUGGAGGCCACACGAGUGAGAAUGCAGGCAUGAGUAGCGAAAGACAUGUGAGAAACAUGUCCUCCGAAAGACCAAGGGUUCCAGGGUCAAGCUAAUCUUCCCUGGGUAAGUCGGGACCUAAGGCGAGGCCGACAGGCGUAGUCGAUGGACAACGGGUUGAUAUUCCCGUACCGGCGAAGAACCGCCCAAGCUAAUCCAGUAGUGCUAAGUAUCUGAAUCCCAUUGACGGAUCCCUUCGGGGUGAAGCGUUGGGCCUAGCGUACGACCCCAUUCUGGUGCGGUUAGCGUAUUAACAGGUGUGACGCAGGAAGGUAGCCCAACCCGGGCGAUGGUUGUCCCGGGGCAAGUGCGUAGGCCGAGAGAUAGGCAAAUCCGUCUCUCACAUAGGCUGAGACACGAUGCGGAUAAAAAUUGGGUGAUCCUAUGCUGCCAAGAAAAGCAUCGACGCGAGGUUCUAGCCGCCCGUACCCCAAACCGACUCAGGUGGUCAGGUAGAGAAUACCAAGGAGAUCGAGAGAAUCGUGGUUAAGGAACUCGGCAAAAUGCCCCCGUAACUUCGGGAGAAGGGGGGCCUUCGACGUAUUAGGACUUGCUCCGAAAGCGUUUGGAGGCCGCAGAGACUAGUGGGUAGCGACUGUUUAUUAAAAACACAGGUCCGUGCCAAGUCGCAAGACGAUGUAUACGGACUGACGCCUGCCCGGUGCUGGAAGGUUAAGAGGACCGGUUAGCCGCAAGGCGAAGCUGAGAAUUUAAGCCCCAGUAAACGGCGGUGGUAACUAUAACCAUCCUAAGGUAGCGAAAUUCCUUGUCGGGUAAGUUCCGACCUGCACGAAUGGCGUAACGACUUCCCAACUGUCUCAACCGCGAACUCGGCGAAAUUGCACUACGAGUAAAGAUGCUCGUUACGCGCAGCAGGACGGAAAGACCCCGUGACCUUUACUACAGCUUGGUAUUGGUGUUCGGUGUGGCUUGUGUAGGAUAGGUGGGAGACUUUGAAGCAGGGACGCCAGUUCUUGUGGAGUCAUUGUUGAAAUACCACUCUGGUCACUCUGGAUAUCUAACUUCGAACCGUAAUCCGGUUCAGGGACAGUGCCUGGUGGGUAGUUUAACUGGGGCGGUUGCCUCCCAAAAAGUAACGGAGGCGCCCAAAGGUUCCCUCAACCUGGUUGGCAAUCAGGUGGCGAGUGUAAGUGCACAAGGGAGCUUGACUGUGAGACUGACAGGUCGAGCAGGGACGAAAGUCGGGACUAGUGAUCCGGCAGUGGCUUGUGGAAGCGCUGUCGCUCAACGGAUAAAAGGUACCUCGGGGAUAACAGGCUGAUCUUGCCCAAGAGUCCAUAUCGACGGCAUGGUUUGGCACCUCGAUGUCGGCUCGUCGCAUCCUGGGGCUGGAGUAGGUCCCAAGGGUUGGGCUGUUCGCCCAUUAAAGCGGUACGCGAGCUGGGUUUAGAACGUCGUGAGACAGUUCGGUCCCUAUCCGCUGCGCGCGUAGGAAAUUUGAGAGGAUCUGACCCUAGUACGAGAGGACCGGGUUGGACGAACCUCUGGUGUGCCAGUUGUUCUGCCAAGAGCACCGCUGGUUAGCUACGUUCGGGAUGGAUAACCGCUGAAAGCAUCUAAGCGGGAAGCCGGCCUCAAGAUGAGAUUUCCAUGCCUUCGGGCGAGAGGCUCCCAGCCAGACUACUGGGUUGAUAGGCCGGAUGUGGAAGCGCGGUAACGCGUGAAGCUGACCGGUACUAAUAAGCCGAUGACUUGAUAAC